GGCCGGUUAGCUCAGUGGUUUGAGCAUGGUGCUGACAACAAUGACAACACUGAGGUCGCGGGUUCUAUUCCCGCUCGGUCC
This is a non-coding RNA of Apaloderma vittatum (bar-tailed trogon), 81 nucleotides long. NCBI's taxonomy places the organism in Eukaryota, Metazoa, Chordata, Aves, Trogoniformes, Trogonidae. The record is from Rfam.